UUGUAACCUGUGCCUGGUGGGGCUUUUGCUUUUUCACCAAGGAGCAGCAGCGGGUGCAGGGCAUGUGUGCACGUGUGUUUGUAGACACCCCUCCCACGCAGCCCAGGACUGUGAUGCUGCACAGCCUGCAGGCACAAGAGGCAGUCAGUCACAAGUCUCUUGAAGAGUGUCUCUGGUGGCUACUGGUGUUAAAUGUACACCUGUCAAUGGUGAUUGCAUUUGUGAGCUCCUGGAUCUGUGACUGAGCUCCAGGUUCCAUUUUCCUCAUACAAUAACCUUUUGGAGAUUUUAACCCAAAGCUUCUUCAGUGGCAAAACAGUCUUUCAUCAUGCAAAAAGAGGAUGAAAUAUCCCAGAACACUCAGCAAAGAAAAUGUAUGCAGAAUGUUUCAUAAAGCCCUGAAUAAAGCUGGCUUCUUCUUCGUC
Long non-coding RNA from Podarcis raffonei (Aeolian wall lizard), 425 nucleotides. RefSeq lists it as uncharacterized. The transcript is spliced from 2 exons. NCBI's taxonomy places the organism in Eukaryota, Metazoa, Chordata, Lepidosauria, Squamata, Lacertidae. The record is from RefSeq and is a predicted model, not a curated record.